CUUGUGGCUAGGGGUGAAAGGCCAAUCAAACUCGGAGAUAGCUGGUUCUCCCCGAAAGCUAUUUAGGUAGCGCCUCGGACGAAUACUACUGGGGGUAGAGCACUGUUAAGGCUAGGGGGUCAUCCCGACUUACCAACCCUUUGCAAACUCCGAAUACCAGUAAGUACUAUCCGGGAGACACACGGCGGGUGCUAACGUCCGUCGUGGAGAGGGAAACAACCCAGACCGCCAGCUAAGGUCCCAAAUUGCUACUAAGUGGGAAACGAUGUGGGAAGGCU
RNAcentral lists this ribosomal RNA (278 nucleotides) under Vibrio ordalii FF-167. RNAcentral's name for it is "partial 23S ribosomal RNA". It matches the Rfam family "Bacterial large subunit ribosomal RNA", at positions 808 to 1085 of the family's 2925-position model. Lineage: Bacteria; Pseudomonadati; Pseudomonadota; Gammaproteobacteria; Vibrionales; Vibrionaceae. The record is from RNAcentral.